This 224-nucleotide ribosomal RNA is filed under the name uncultured bacterium. RNAcentral describes it as "partial 16S ribosomal RNA". It matches the Rfam family "Bacterial small subunit ribosomal RNA", at positions 524 to 745 of the family's 1533-position model. The record is from RNAcentral.
UACGUAGGGUGCGAGCGUUGUCCGGAAUUAUUGGGCGUAAAGAGCUCGUAGGCGGUCUGUCGCGUCUGCUGUGAAAACCCGAGGCUCAACCUCGGGCCUGCAGUGGGUACGGGCAGACUAGAGUGCGGGUAGGGGAGAAUGGAACUCCUGGUGUAGCGGUGGAAUGCGCAGAUAUCAGGAAGAACACCGAUGGCGAAGGCAGUUCUCUGGGCCGUAAACUGACG